GAUGAACGCUGGCGGCGUGCCUAAUACAUGCAAGUCGAGCGAACAGAUGAGGAGCUUGCUCCUCUGACGUUAGCGGCGGACGGGUGAGUAACACGUGGAUAACCUCCCUAUCAGACUGGGAUAACUUCGGGAAACCGGAGCUAAUACCGGAUAAUAUAUUGAACCGCAUGGUUCAAUAGUGAAAUACGGUUUUGCUGUCACUUAUAGAUGGAUCCGCGCCGCAUUAGCUAGUUGGUACGGUAACGGCUUACCAAGGCAACGAUGCGUAGCCGACCUGAGAGGGUGAGCGGCCACACUGGAACUGAGACACGGUCCAGACUCCUAAGGGAGGCAGCAGUAGGGAAUCUUCCGCAAGGGGCGAAAGCCUGACGGAGCAACGCCGCGUGAGUGAUGAAGGUCUUCGGAGCGUAAAACUCUGUUAUUAGGGAAGAACAAAUGUGUAAGUAACGAUGCACGUCUUGACGGUACCUAAUCAGAAAGCCACGGCUAACUACGUG
RNAcentral lists this ribosomal RNA (497 nucleotides) under uncultured bacterium. Its description in RNAcentral is "partial 16S ribosomal RNA". It matches the Rfam family "Bacterial small subunit ribosomal RNA", at positions 28 to 507 of the family's 1533-position model. The record is from RNAcentral.